RNAcentral lists this ribosomal RNA (405 nucleotides) under uncultured Anaerolineaceae bacterium. RNAcentral describes it as "bacterial SSU rRNA". It matches the Rfam family "Bacterial small subunit ribosomal RNA", at positions 355 to 776 of the family's 1533-position model. The record is from RNAcentral. Lineage: Bacteria; Bacillati; Chloroflexota; Anaerolineae; Anaerolineales; Anaerolineaceae.
UAGGGAAUAUUGCACAAUGGGCGAAAGCCUGAUGCAGCAACGCCGCGUGCACGAUGAAGGCCUUCGGGUCGUAAAGUGCUUUUCUGUAGGACGAGAGAGGACGGUACUGCAGGAAUAAGGAUCGGCUAACUACGUGCCAGCAGCCGCGGUAACACGUAGGAUCCGAGCGUUAUCCGAAUUCACUGGGCGUAAAGCGCUUGCAGGCGGCAAGGUAAGUUGGAUGUAAAAUCUUCUGGCUCAACUGGGAGAUGCCGUUCAAGACUGCCUGGCUAGAGGGCGAUAGAGGGAGGUGGAAUUCCCGGUGUAGUGGUGAAAUGCGUAGAUAUCGGGAGGAACACCAGAGGCGAAAGCGGCCUCCUGGAUCGCAACUGACGCUGAGAAGCGAAAGCUAGGGGAGCAAACGGG